AUUAAUUUCCACACGGUGUGAGGUGACAGUAGAGGGCCAGCAGAUCUUGAUGUAAAAUACCAUUCUUACUAAUAUCAAUUAGUAAGCUUGCAUAUGUUCGGUUCGAAGAUCAAAAAUAGUUUCAUGUCACAGGGAUACAUCUAGUCCCAACUAAAAACACAUAUAGUUAUAGUUUUAAUGACAGAAGUUCGCACGUGCAACACACAUUAUAAGCUUAGCUCCGUCCCCUUCUAAAUAUACGUGAACAAAGUAAGCUACUAAUCUUCUUUUUAAAUUAGACCAAUGCCCUCUUGAUCAAUUGAAAUUUCAUAAAAUUUAUUACAAUGAAUAACUACUGAGGGAACAUAGGACUUCUUACAUAUCUUUUCUAAAUAUAAAAUGUAUAUCUUCAUCAAAGUCUUCUAUGUUAUAAUUCAGCUUCAUGUGCAUGCAGUUCCUAAUGUUAGCAGUAAUCAGAGCACUCCUGCACAACAACCGCGACGACAAUCUUCCUUCUCUUUAUCAUCGCUCACCAUCUGUGUCCUGUCAUUGAUGGCACCUUAGCCACACUACACCGGCUCUGGCACCAUAAAGGCGAUGGUAGAGAUCCCGUGGGAAGGUACCUUCGCCACACUACACCGGCUCUGGCACCAUUAAGGCGAUGGUACAUUCCGUGGGACUGUCGCGCAUGGUACCAGGCCAAGAUGCUCCCGCCAACCAUGAAAGCGGCCACCUGCUGCAAACAUUUGAAGAGUCAUUAUGUGAUUACUAUUACAUCUACAUCUGAUGAAUGAGAAUAACAAGUAGGAUGGUGAAUGAGAAGUCAACAUCCAACAUGAAUAGCUAGACAACAUGUAGAUAACAGGCUAAACUUCCUUUCCUGCUAAAUCUUUGAUAUUACCCCAGUAAUGCGAACCAACUGCUUCAAGCUUCUCAGAUGGACCCUUAUAUCCCUUAGUUCUUCUACCGAAACAAACUACUUGCCCCGGGAUAACCACCAUAUGUCCGUAAGACAACAACUUGCACCUUCCACUUGGCAUGGUUCAUAGUUGAUUGUGCCUCUUCAGCUCUCACGGGAUACAACCAGACAAUGUCAUGUAUAAUGCUCCAAUAAUCAGACAAUCAAGAUGCAUGAACUAAUAUGUAGACUCAAUCUUCUUAGUGAAGAUAUCUUAACAUGUGUUGACAUUUACAAAAAUGCCUGUCAUGAUUUCAUAGAUGACAAAGGCAGACAAUUACGAUGCCAACAUUGCCAGCACAUUAUAUUAGUGAACUCACACGUACAUGUACAUUCCGUAGUUUACCGGAUUUUAUUAUUGACAGAACAGGCAGAAGAUUUUAAAAGGUAAAUAGACAAAUAAGAAUCCAAGUAAUAUCAACAUUGGGAUGCUCUGGUUUAUAUAUCAUUGCUCUGAUUUCUUAAGCCUUUGGUUUUUUGUGCAAUAUAUUUUCCAUGUAAUAGCAAGCUGAAGGAUGAUAAGCUCAAAGAGGUUACCAGGACCAAAGAUGAUUAUCUAAAAGAAACCUUGAAGCAAAAAGCUGAUGUCGAUAAAACAGUAUAAGGCCUAAAAUAAAAACAUGUCUUCAUAGUAAAAGUCUUAGUCGUCCUAGAACAGUUCGAAAAGUCUUAGUGGCUUUAUCUAAAAAAAAAGAUGCUUAGUGGCUCUGCAUGCUAUGACAACCAUCAAUUGAAGUACAUAUCUCGCUGGACUUGAACUCUUGCGACUAAGAUAUCAAUUGAAACCCAGAUUCACCGAGAAGUAGGAAAUAUGGCUGCAAUAUAUCAAUGGCUCGAAUAAUGUGCAAUAUAUCAAUGGGCUUGAAUAAUGUGCAACAUAUCAAUAUGACAAUAUUAGCUAUCCACUACACAACCAAAUUUAACCGAAAAUCUAUAAGAUGAGUUCUAAUAAUAGCAAUCCAACAACUACUAAUCCAAACUCACUUGUGCAAACUUGCGGCCAUGCGGCAUCAGUAAAUGCGUAAGGAUGACCAUGUGCCCCAUAAUUGGAAAUCUGAAAUAAUAGACACCGAGUGUUAAUGGAGAAUAGCAAAAUAUGAAAAAACAGAUAAGAAGGUGAAAAUUCAACCUAACAUAUAUUAUCUCCCUCAGAAGCCAAUAGUAUGCACUGGAUGUGUCCAAGAUGCUGCUUUGACCUUGCUGAAUUUUUCAUGUGUUACCGUCAUAGGACACGAAAAAUGUGCAGCUAUAUACACCCAAGAAAUUGUCUCCAAGGUUCAGGCUACAAAAAAAAACAUAAAAAUCUGACGUAUUCGGAAAACCGUAGAGAACAAAAAGCGCUCAAACAACUUUGGCUCUAAGUCUGGUAGGCGACCAAGCACUGCAGCACCUCGUGACAUGCCUUCUCAAAUCUUGCAUUGAAGUAAUUUUACUUGCUGGCACAACUUUUUCUGUUCCAAAAUUCUUCGGGUUUGGUCAACCACCUUAUCAGAUUAUAUGAUUAUGAUAUAUCAAGCAAGAUUUAAGUCAUGUAACAUCACAACAUCCCAAAUUAGCAGGCAUGUCUUUAAGCUUCUGUAUGAGCUUGCAAAGAAAUUUUGUUGGCCCAUCUAGAUUGUCUGUGCAGAAGCAUUGAUCUCAGAUUGCUGGUUGUAUAUCUAAAAAAUUCAAACUAUAAUCCCAGGUUAAAUCUUGCAAACUACCCAGAAAGUUUAUAUCUCAAUAAAAAAUGCUUACACAUCAAUUUCUCACUUUUUUCUGAACCUCGUGUCAACAGAUUGCUAUAGUCAGUAGAGUGUAAUCAUAUUCAUAGCACGUCGUAUGAAAAUGGUAGAUAUCCUACUGCCUAUCUCUGGAAAAUUGAACAAUACCUAAACUGCAAUUAACUGUAAGCAGCCAUGCUUAACUUGGCUCAAACAGAAGCUUGAGAAGUUCCUUUUCUUGGUGGUUAACGUCUUAGAAGUUAGAAUGAACUGAAAGAAGUGCAUUAUUGGUUGAGUAGGAAGUUCUUGGUCUUGGAACCAUGGCAGUUGCCGGUUGCUAUCAUUUAAAAGAAGAGCCUUCAUUUUUAGCAGAGUUUCUGGAGUAUUUCACGCUUAAGUAAGAAAUAGUAGUCUUCUGGGUUGAACAUUAAAUAAUUAAGCAUGACAUGUCAUUGACUUAAAUAUUACACACGAAACUGGCCAGGGAUGAGUUAUACUCAAAUAAACUUGCAAAGUGUAAAUUACCUGUACGCAGGUUAGCCUCGAGCAAAUCUUUGUACAAAUCAAAUCAGAUCACAUAAAUUAUUCUUCUGAAUCGAACUGCAGUGUGUAGACGGCAGGGCGGUGGCGGCGUCGGGGCAAGGCAAUUCGUGCGCCUAGGCGGCCGCAUCCGAUGGAGAUGGAUGGAAGACGAAUCGGAGUGCUGGAAUGUCGCUGGCCCGGCUGGGCACGUGGAGACGUGGGGAGGCCACCAGUGUGGCGCCUGGGAUGCAGCGCGUGGGAAGAGACGGCGUGGGAGCGCGUGGGAGGCACGGCGGGGGAUUGGAUAAGGCCUGUGUGCUCUCUUUCUCCGUCGAGGACGACAGCGACGGCACCCAGGCCGGCUGCUCGCCUCGGUUCAAGGUUCUCGACCUUCUAUUGUAUGGGAGAAAGGUGGGGAUUGAUUUUUGGCCGCGAGGCAGAGGAAUUAGAUGCCGAUGGCACCAGGAGAGGAUGAACAGCGAGGGGAAGCGAGGGCCUCGACAGCGGUGGACUGCCCUCUGCCUCUCGAUGUGCCCCUCCUCCCCGGAGGCGGCGGUGGGGACCUUGGGGGGCGUGUAACCGUAGAGCGCCGGCCAGAGGCGGGCCAGGCGGCGGCCAUGAAACCUUGUGGGAGGUGCGGGCGGGGCUGGUGGGGGUGGGUGGUUUGAGACUUGGAGAGGAACGGGAGAUCGUGGGUGGGCGUGACGUUGGG
RNAcentral lists this long non-coding RNA (3874 nucleotides) under Triticum aestivum (bread wheat). Its description in RNAcentral is "long non-coding RNA (TAES_LNC003091)". Lineage: Eukaryota; Viridiplantae; Streptophyta; Magnoliopsida; Poales; Poaceae. The record is from RNAcentral.